UUCUAUCCAGUCACCAGGGACUUCACCUGACUGUCAUGACUUUUCAAUGAAAGUCCUGUACCAUGAAACUCAGUAUUUGUCUGCUGAUAAAUGAUGGAAAGUUUGGCAAGCACUUCUGUUAGCUCCUUCAGUGCCCUUGGGUAGAUCCCAUCUGACCCCAUGGACUUGGGCUCACCACCACUGAUUUUGUUUUCAUGGCAGCAAAUGGAUACACACAAAUGGAUAAACAGGGAAGAAGAAAGAUGUAGUGUAUUUUCAGAAUUUAGCAGAGCAAGAGCAAAGGUAAUAGGCUCCCAAACUAUUCUUGUAGGUAAGCCCCUGGUACAUGCCUACUUAGGACUAUUAUUGUCAUACCUGUAUACAACUGAGUAAUGUGUGCACAUUGCAGCCUGAUUAGAGAGGGAGUUUUGAAAGAACCGUGGUUUCAUAACAAUAAAUCUGGUUUUAGUUCACUUAGGAUUGAGCCAAAGCAUAAUAGUCACAAGAUGCUAACCAGUACUUUACUCAAGUUUACUCUGCUAAAUCAAAUGUAUUUACAUUUUGUUAUGGCAAGCCAGGCAUAGUAUCCUUCUGCAGCUGGCAUAAAUACCACAUCACAUGUUCAGGCUAAUUCAACAGAACUAGUCAUAUUGUAAGGGUCAAAUACAUAAUACCAGGUAAGCCAAGUUCUCUAAAUUUAGAAUUAUAGCUCAAUUGUUGCAAGUAACAAAUAAUUUCUCUUGUGAUUGGUAACUUGGUUACUGAUCUCCAUUAUAUCCUGGAAAUGUAAUGCAAGUGUUGGACCUGUUCAGGAAUUAAGGCAAACAGCUCCAAUGUUGAUACUUGUAAUAAAACUAGAGUAUUUUCCCUGCUAAAUGAUGUCAUUGUAACAUUGCUUUGGAAACACAGCUCUGACUUCCUGAGUUUAGUUAUAAAAAUGUGUUCUUCAGCAGGGAGGAAAUGUUGUCUACAAAAUUUCAGGUGUUUCUAUCAUUCUUGUCACAUGUCCCAGACUAAAGGUGUACCACAUUAAUUACUUUAAAUAUACAGUCUUAUCAAUUACUUUAAUCUACUAGCUAGGCUUUGGUGUGGUUUAAAAGGCAAUUCUUCAUCCUCGCUUCUUUCAUGGCUGGCUGUAUGUUCCCUCUCUUCCUGUCGCAUUGGAUUUAGCAAUAAUAUAGUGAAAAUUGGUUUGAUUCAGUAGAAAGUUCUCUUUCAGUUCUACCUGUUGAACUGACUCAUUGCACAAGAUCUAAUCAGAGGUGAAUGGGAUGAGCACUAUCUAUGGCCUUGUUAGCUUGCAGUUGUAUUAGAUUUCAGGAAAAUUAAGACACUGAUACUUAUUAGCAUUUUAAUUAGAAAUUCUUGGCUCAGUGUAUAAAAACAUUCUUACUUAUAUAUUCCAGCCCAUCAUUUGACUGCUUUUUUGUUUUCCACAGUUAUUUGAUAAAUUACUUGUUAUUGAGAUAACUAAACCAGGAAUUUCACAUUAUUUACACGUCCUCAUAUUAUUAAGCUGUAAUUUGCCCAACAGAGAUGAGGAUAAUUUACCCUACAACUCAGCAGCAUUUAAUAUGUGACUCUGCUAUAAGUAACUGUUAUAAAGCUAAGUGGCGUAGCCUGUAAAGUGACAUGAUAUUGUAGUAUUUCUUCAAAAAUAUGAAAUUAAGUGCCAUUACAUCCUAUAAUUAUAUAACUUAUCUUUGCAGCUUAGGAAAUGGACCCUGAUAGUCUGUGUAAUAUAAUAGUAAGUGCAACAAUGACAGCAGAGUAGCAAGAGCCCAGGCAAGCGAGGAAUUGCAGUGGACACAGAAAUAAGGGAAAGAAGACACCUUCAGAAGGCUUCAGAUGUGCACAUACUUCCAGAAAGAUAUCCUCUUCUUCACUGCCAACCCUUAAAUAAGAUCUGGGAAGAGAUGCAUCCUGGCUCCAUCCUUUCUUGUCACUCAGAGAAACCCUCUGCAGAGCCUGAUAACCCACGAUUGCCUCUGUCACAAAUGAUUUGUGCAGAAGUAUGCUUGCAAGUAUUUCAUUCAAAAUAUGUAGGCAUUGUUGGCAUUUAAAACUAUCUGAUUCUCUUCUACAUUGGAUAAAAAGUGUUUUUCACCUGGCUCUGAAAUGAUGUGCAUUUCAAAGAUGCUGUUGUGUGAUUGACUUUAAGAUAUUUAGCUUUGCCUUAGGCGUGUAUUUGGAGUUCUUGAUUUUUUUGUGUCAAAUUCAUAAUUUUUUUUAGAGGUUUGGUUAUUUUUUGCUUCUUUUAAACCUCUUCCUAAUUGUACAAUAAAUGGCUACUUUUUUUUCCCAGUUGUCAGUUUAACCUGAUCUGUAUUGUUUCUACUCUAGACUUCUAAAAGUUUUGUUGUUAUUUUCUAUACAAGGUAUUUUGCCAACUGCUGAAGUUGUUCCCGGCAUUUGUCAUUAUAGGAAUUCUGUUAGUCACAUUGUAAUUAUGGAAUUAGCCAGUGAAGUUAAAAGUUUCACCAGUAGAUAUAUCUUUUGAAAGGCUAUCUCAAUAGGACCUUUUCAUCCUAGGUUCAUUUUUUGCAGUGUUCAGUAAGUACUUUAUAUUUAACAAUAUUUCUAGUUGUUAUAAAUAUACAAUGAGCUUAAAAUGUAAUGUGUGUUUGUUGACUAUUUUUAUUGCAUGACAUGGUAGAAUUGAAUUCUUGUAUUACUUCUAAAUGUUUUCUACACCUGGCUGAUAAUUCAUGUAAGUGCCAUGCCAUUGAUUGUCUUAGUGUUGCUAUAUAUCCCCAUUUAUUCUAAAAACAAUAAGUCCUACGUUGAAGGUAAUACGUGAUUCUGUGACAUUACAAUAUUGUGAUGAAUAUAGUGAAAUAAAUGGUUUGUGCCAUCUAUUGGUCUGAACAGAAUCUGCAUUUCAAUUCAGAAUGAGUUGUAUGUCCUAGGGAAGCAUUCAGUUUGUAAAAGAAAAUCACCAUAAAUAAUGUAAUUUUUAAUGUCUUUUCUAUAUUAAGUGUCAACAAAUGUUAAAGAUGUGCUAAUUAAAAGGAACAAACUAAUAUGUUAUCCCUUUUCCUAUCUCUGCCUUGUUAACCAUUCCUAGAAGCUUAUUCUAAGUUUGAUAGAGUCUGGAAAUGUAUUUCCAAUAGGUUGGUCAUAUUUUAGCAGGAUUUAACAGUCUACACUGGUGGUAUAGAGUGCUGUGAAUGUGAAGUUUGUCUAGACAUGUUUGAUGGAGUCAUACUUUCUAUAAUAAUUCAUAAUUACAGUAUAUCCCGUCAUCACAUUUACUUAUAAAAGAGUAUUUAAAAUAAACCAACACCUUCUCCUUCAUGGAUUUUCUCUGUAAAUUUUGAUGUUAAGGCUGGAGUAAUAAAGCUACUGAUAUGGGAUGGACUUCAUUGAGUAUACUUCAUAUAUUUCAGUUUAGCUGAACAAACUUCAUAUCCUACAGCCUAAUAGACAAUUGUAUUUUCAACACCUGAGAUUGCAUGCUCAAUUCUUAAUUCAGUCUGUGUUAGCACUUGCAUAUUUGAUACGUUCUCUGUACACUGAGAUUAUAAAUAUUAUUCUGCAAUGA
Molecule: non-coding RNA, 3523 nt
Organism: Meleagris gallopavo (turkey)
Lineage: Eukaryota; Metazoa; Chordata; Aves; Galliformes; Phasianidae
Source: RefSeq, a predicted model, not a curated record